AACGAACGCUGGCGGCAGGCCUAACACAUGCAAGUCGAACGAGAAAGCACUUCGGUGUGAGUAUAGUGGCGCACGGGUGAGUAACGCGUGGGAACGUACCUUAAGGAGUGGAAUAGCCCCGGGAAACUGGGAAUAAUACCGCAUAAUGUCUUCGGACCAAAGAUUUAUCGCCUUAAGAUCGGCCCGCGUGGGAUUAGUUUGUUGGUGGGGUAAUGGCCUACCAAGACUACGAUCUCUAGCUGGUUUGAGAGGAUGAUCAGCCACACUGGAACUGAGACACGGUCCAG
RNAcentral lists this ribosomal RNA (287 nucleotides) under uncultured bacterium. RNAcentral describes it as "partial 16S ribosomal RNA". It matches the Rfam family "Bacterial small subunit ribosomal RNA", at positions 29 to 334 of the family's 1533-position model. The record is from RNAcentral.